RNAcentral lists this transfer RNA (84 nucleotides) under Candidatus Woesearchaeota archaeon. RNAcentral's name for it is "tRNA-Ser". It matches the Rfam family "tRNA". From Rfam's summary of the family: Transfer RNA (tRNA) molecules are approximately 80 nucleotides in length. Their secondary structure includes four short double-helical elements and three loops (D, anti-codon, and T loops). The record is from RNAcentral. Lineage: Archaea; Nanobdellati; Candidatus Woesearchaeota.
GCCACGGUGGCACAAUCCGGUACUGCGAUGGCCUUGAGAGCCGUUUCCCGCAAGGGUAUCCUGGUUCGAAUCCGGGCCGUGGCG